UUGAACGCUGGCGGUAUGCUUAACACAUGCAAGUCGAACGGAAACGAUACUAGCUUGCUAGUAGGCGUCGAGUGGCGGACGGGUGAGUAACGCGUAGGAAUCUGCCUGAUAGUGGGGGAUAGCCCGAAGAAAUUCGGAUUAAUACCGCAUAAUCUAUUCGUAGUAAAGUGGGGGACUUUCGAGCCUCACGCUAUCAGAUGAGCCUGCGUAAGAUUAGCUUGUUGGUAGGGUAAAAGCCUACCAAGGCGACGAUCUUUAGCUGGUCUGAGAGGAUGAUCAGCCACAUCGGGACUGAGACACGGCCCGAACUCCUACGGGAGGCAGCAGUGGGGAAUAUUGGACAAUGGGGGCAACCCUGAUCCAGCAAUACCGCGUGUGUGAAGAAGGCCUGAGGGUUGUAAAGCACUUUCAAUUGUGAAGAAAAGUUAGCGGUUAAUAACCGUUAGCCUUGACGUUAACUUUAGAAGAAGCACCGGCUAACUCCGUGCCAGCAGCCGCGGUAAUACGGAGGGUGCCAAGCGUUAAUCGGAAUUACUGGGCGUAAAGCGUGCGUAGGCGGUUUAUUAAGUCAGAUGUGAAAGCCCCCCGGGCUUAACCUGGGAACUGCAUUUGGAACUGGUCCAACUAGAGUAUGGUAGGAGGAAAGUGGAAUUUCCUGGUGUAGGCGGGUGAAAUGCGUUAGGAUAUUCAGAAGGGAACCAUCCAAUGGGGCGAGGGCCAGGCUUUUCCUGGGACCCAAUACUUGACCGGCUGGAGGUUACGAAAAGGCGUGGGGUAGCAAAACAGGGAUUAGAUACCCCUGGGUAGUCCACGCCGGUAAACGAUGAAUAACUAGCCGUUGGGGGGAUUUACCCUUUAGUGGCGAAGCUAACGCGUUAAGUUAUCCGCCUGGGGAGUACGGCCGCAAGGUUAAAACUCAAAGGAAUUGACGGGGACCCGCACAAGCGGUGGAGCAUGUGGUUUAAUUUCGAUGCAACGCGAAGAACCUUACCUGGUCUUGACAUCCUGCGAACUUUCUAGAAAUAGAUUGGUGCCUUCGGGAACGCAGUGACAGGUGCUGCAUGGCUGUCGUCAGCUCGUGUCGUGAGAUGUUGGGUUAAGUCCCGUAACGAGCGCAACCCCUAUCCUUAUUUGCCAGCACAUCAUGGUGGGAACUAUAAGGAGACUGCCGGUGAUAAACCGGAGGAAGGCGGGGACGACGUCAAGUCAUCAUGGCCCUUACGACCAGGGCUACACACGUGCUACAAUGGGAAGGACAAAGAGCCGCGAAGCCGCGAGGUGUAGCUAAUCUCAUAAACCUUUUCGUAGUCCGGAUUGGAGUCUGCAACUCGACUCCAUGAAGUCGGAAUCGCUAGUAAUCGUAGAUCAGAAUGCUACGGUGAAUACGUUCCCGGGUCUUGUACACACCGCC
RNAcentral lists this ribosomal RNA (1411 nucleotides) under uncultured Gammaproteobacteria bacterium. RNAcentral's name for it is "bacterial SSU rRNA". It matches the Rfam family "Bacterial small subunit ribosomal RNA", at positions 29 to 1394 of the family's 1533-position model. The record is from RNAcentral. Lineage: Bacteria; Pseudomonadati; Pseudomonadota; Gammaproteobacteria.